This 429-nucleotide ribosomal RNA is filed under the name Chloroflexota bacterium. RNAcentral describes it as "Chloroflexi bacterium partial 16S ribosomal RNA". It matches the Rfam family "Bacterial small subunit ribosomal RNA", at positions 355 to 776 of the family's 1533-position model. Lineage: Bacteria; Bacillati; Chloroflexota. The record is from RNAcentral.
UGGGGAAUAUUGCACAAUGGGCGCAAGCCUGAUGCAGCCAUGCCGCGUGUGUGAAGAAGGCCUUCGGGUUGUAAAGCACUUUCAGCGGGGAGGAAGGCGGUGAGGUUAAUAACCUCACCGAUUGACGUUACCCGCAGAAGAAGCACCGGCUAACUCCGUGCCAGCAGCCGCGGUAAUACGGAGGGUGCAAGCGUUAAUCGGAAUUACUGGGCGUAAAGCGCACGCAGGCGGUCUGUCAAGUCGGAUGUGAAAUCCCCGGGCUCAACCUGGGAACUGCAUUCGAAACUGGCAGGCUAGAGUCUUGUAGAGGGGGGUAGAAUUCCAGGUGUAGCGGUGAAAUGCGUAGAGAUCUGGAGGAAUACCGGUGGCGAAGGCGGCCCCCUGGACAAAGACUGACGCUCAGGUGCGAAAGCGUGGGCAGCAAACAGG